Molecule: microRNA precursor, 103 nt
Filed under: Olea europaea subsp. europaea
Lineage: Eukaryota; Viridiplantae; Streptophyta; Magnoliopsida; Lamiales; Oleaceae
Source: RNAcentral
UUUUGUUAACACGUGUGUAUAUAUAUAUAUGUGUGUGUGUGUGUGUGUGUGUGUGUGUCUAUACACACACACACACACACAUAUAUAUAUAUACAUACAUAUA